GGUGGGGACUAUACUGAGGGUGUCCCACUCCUUUCCAUACCGAACAGGAUAGUGAAAUCCCUCAAGGCCGAUGAUAGUGAUUCUAUCGCGAAAGUAGGUAGUCCCCACCU
This 110-nucleotide ribosomal RNA is filed under the name Parcubacteria group bacterium CG1_02_39_15. RNAcentral also lists the same sequence under 5 other names. The record is from RNAcentral.